AACGCACCUUGCACCCUUUGGUAUUCCGAAGGGUAUGCCUGUUUGAGUGUCUUGAACAAUCUCAAAUAUUCCCCCCAAAUGUGGUAUAUUUGGUUCCUGAGCAUUGCCAGUUUGAAUGUUACUGGCUUGCUUUAAAUGAAUUAGCUGAGGCCACAUUACUCUCACAAGCGUAAUAAUGUUUCGCUAGUAGUAAUUUGGGGGCUUUUGCUUCUAAAAGAAACCUGUCUACAAUCAGACCUCAAAUCAGGUAGGACUACCCGCUGAACUUAA
RNAcentral lists this unclassified non-coding RNA (270 nucleotides) under uncultured fungus. RNAcentral's name for it is "partial contains 5.8S ribosomal RNA, internal transcribed spacer 2, and large subunit ribosomal RNA". The stretch from base 1 to 52 matches the Rfam family "5.8S ribosomal RNA", at positions 103 to 154 of the family's 154-position model. The record is from RNAcentral. Lineage: Eukaryota; Fungi.